This 159-nucleotide ribosomal RNA is filed under the name uncultured bacterium. Its description in RNAcentral is "partial 16S ribosomal RNA". It matches the Rfam family "Bacterial small subunit ribosomal RNA", at positions 1342 to 1500 of the family's 1533-position model. The record is from RNAcentral.
UCGCGAAUCAGAAUGUCGCGGUGAAUACGUUCCCGGGUCUUGUACACACCGCCCGUCACACCAUGGGAGUCGGGAAUGCCCGAAGUCAGUGACCCAACCAUAUGGAGGGAGCUGCCGAAGGCAGGUCUGAUAACUGGGGUGAAGUCGUAACAAGGUAAC